This is an RNA transcript of Olea europaea var. sylvestris, 871 nucleotides long. It is a transcript of the gene named hydroxyproline O-galactosyltransferase HPGT1-like, with no coding region annotated. The transcript has 2 exons. The record is from RefSeq and is a predicted model, not a curated record. Lineage: Eukaryota; Viridiplantae; Streptophyta; Magnoliopsida; Lamiales; Oleaceae.
UUCAAAUAUCCUAUCAAAUAAAGCAAACGUACUACUGUGACAUCAAUAAGAAAUUUUGGUAGUAGUUGGUAGUUGAUGUAUUUGCUUAGAUGACUUGUGUGCAAUGAUUAUAAAAUUCCAUAUAAGCAUUUAAAAAUUGCCAAGUUAAGAGCUGGGCUGUAUGCUACAUAAAUUAGAAAUUGAUGAUGGACCAUGUACCCUGAGAAUGACACGGUUCUGAUACCUGCUCUUCUUUUCCCAAACAUAAACACAGAAAUAAGGUUGAUAGCGGUAGGUAGAUGUUUCAAUAUCCAGUACCCGCACUUCUAUUCAUCAUCAGGUAUAAAUUAAAUUUUCAACGUGAACUUGACAUUUUUCAUUCCACGUUUAGGGAAAAUCUGUUAUUUCGGUUGACGAUUCAUGGAAAAUUUUAGGAUGCAGGGAACAGCUGAAGAAACUAUCAGCCUUGGAGAUGGAACUUGCUAGAGCCAGACAGGAGGGUUUUGUUUCAAAGUAUUUACCAGAGAUGAAUAAAACUCCCAAGACAAAUCCACUUGUCGUAAUAGGAAUACUUACAGGAUUUGGACGCAAGAAUGAAAGAGAUGCUAUACGCAAGGCAUGGAUGGGAACUGGUAAAUUAUCACAUUAUCUACCAUCUUAUGUUUCAUUUCUUGUUAUGGCCAGAUUGGUUCUGCUACUGCAAAUGUGAUAUAAGCCUCCUUUACUUAAAGUUCAUGAAUAUUAAAAGAAAAACUUGGGGAGAUCCUUGAAGAGUAACUCAUGGAAAAAUUCCUAUUUGAAAUUCAAUGUCAAAGCCUAAGUUGGGGCAUCUCUAUGUAAAAAUUUCUCUACACCAGAAUAAGGAGAAUUGUGUGGCCAUUAUAUGUUAGCU